AGCAGCCGCGGUAAUUCCAGCUCCAAUAGCGUAUAUUAAAGUUGUUGCAGUUAAAAAGCUCGUAGUUGAAUUUUGGAUUCUUCCAAUUGGUCCAUCUUUUAGAUGAGUACUAGUUGUGUGGGGUCUAUCCGCCUGGUGAUACGUAAUGUCCUUUAUUGGAUGUUGCGGGUAGUCAGGACCUUUACCUUGAAAAAUUAGAGUGUUUAAAGCAGGCUUAUGCCGGAAUACAUUAGCAUGGAAUAAUAGAAUAGGACGAAGUUGUUUUAUUUGUUGGUUUCUAGGACAACCGUAAUGAUUAAUAGGGAUAGUUGGGGGCAUUAGUAUUCAAUUGUCAGAGGUGAAAUUCUUGGAUUUAUUGAAGACUAACUACUGCGAAAGCAUUUGCCAAGGAUGUUUUCAUUAAUCAAGAACGAAAGUUAGGGGAUCGAAGACGAUCAGAUACCGUCGUAGUCUUAACCAUAAACUA
This 466-nucleotide unclassified non-coding RNA is filed under the name uncultured Acaulospora. RNAcentral's name for it is "SSU rRNA". It matches the Rfam family "Eukaryotic small subunit ribosomal RNA", at positions 569 to 1039 of the family's 1831-position model. Lineage: Eukaryota; Fungi; Glomeromycota; Glomeromycetes; Diversisporales; Acaulosporaceae. The record is from RNAcentral.